GAGCAUUCAAAUGACAUAAUCAAAACACAAUGAUCAAAUGUGAAUCAAAAUCAACAUUAACCAAUGGUAAAUGUAAUACCCCAAAACUUACCCUUCAUUUUUCUGAAAAAAAAUAAAUGAAAAAAAAAAUUAAAAAAAACGAAAAAAAAUAAAAAAUGAAAAAAAUAAAUAAAUAAAUAAAUAAAUAAAUCAAAUAAAUCAAAUAAAUAAAUAAAAUAUAACAAAUUUUUUUGGACUUGGG
Molecule: long non-coding RNA, 241 nt
Filed under: Lathyrus oleraceus (garden pea)
Lineage: Eukaryota; Viridiplantae; Streptophyta; Magnoliopsida; Fabales; Fabaceae
Description: Pisum sativum (pea) long non-coding RNA (PSAT_LNC039300)
Source: RNAcentral